UGGGGAAUAUUGCACAAUGGGCGAAAGCCUGAUGCAGCAACGCCGCGUGAGCGAUGAAGGUCUUCGGAUCGUAAAGCUCUGUCCUCAAGGAAGAAUUUUGACGGUACUUGAGGAGGAAGCCCCGGCUAACUACGUGCCAGCAGCCGCGGUAAUACGUAGGGGGCCAGCGUUAUCCGGAAUUAUUGGGCGUAAAGGGUGCGUAGGCGGUCCUACAAGUCAGAGGUGAAAGGCUACGGCUCAACCGUAGUAAGCCUUUGAAACUGUAGGACUUGAGUGCAGGAGAGGAGAGUGGAAUUCCCAGUGUAGCGGUGAAAUGCGUAGAUAUUGGGAGGAACACCAGUUGCGAAGGCGGCUCUCUGGACUGUAACUGACGCUGAGGCACGAAAGCGUGGGGAGCGAACAGGAUUAGAUACCCUGGUAGUCCACGCCGUAAACGAUGAGUACUAGGUGUCGGGGGUUACCCCCUCGGUGCCGCAGCUAACGCAUUAAGUACUCCGCCUGGGAA
RNAcentral lists this ribosomal RNA (505 nucleotides) under uncultured Bacillota bacterium. Its description in RNAcentral is "bacterial SSU rRNA". It matches the Rfam family "Bacterial small subunit ribosomal RNA", at positions 355 to 879 of the family's 1533-position model. Lineage: Bacteria; Bacillati; Bacillota. The record is from RNAcentral.